GUGCUAAUAAAUGUUUCAGCUAUUGAAGCUGCCCAGAAAUAGUGUCUUAGAUCUGUGUUUUUUUGUCUCAUUCAGAAUUAAACAAUUUUCUGACAAGGGAUGCAUUUCCUUUUAACAGAGUUUGCUAUAUUCAUAUUCAGGUAAUAUGUAAAAUGCAAUUUUACAGCAAAUACAGGUUUUUUUCUUUUUGUAAAAAUUUUAGAGCUACACUUCUGCUUGAAAGAAUCAGUGUUCAUUUUAAAAAAAA
Molecule: non-coding RNA, 247 nt
Organism: Pelobates cultripes (western spadefoot toad)
Lineage: Eukaryota; Metazoa; Chordata; Amphibia; Anura; Pelobatidae
Source: the annotation of a GenBank genome assembly